Molecule: ribosomal RNA, 404 nt
Filed under: uncultured bacterium
Lineage: Bacteria
Description: bacterial SSU rRNA
Rfam family: Bacterial small subunit ribosomal RNA
Source: RNAcentral
UGAGGAAUAUUGGACAAUGGGGGAAACCCUGAUCCAGCCAUGCCGCGUGAGUGAUGAAGGCCUUCGGGUUGUAAAGCUCUUUUAGAUGUGAAGAUAAUGACGGUAGCAUCAGAAAAAGCCCCGGCUAAAUUCGUGCCAGCAGCCGCGGUAAUACGAAUGGGGCAAGCGUUGUUCGGAAUCACUGGGCUUAAAGCGUAUGCAGGCGGACUAGCAAGUCAGAAGUGAAAUCCCUGGGCUUAACCCAGGAAUUGCUUUUGAAACUGCAAGUCUAGAAUCCCGGAGAGGUUAACAGAAUUCCGAGUGUAGAGGUGAAAUUCGCAGAUAUUCGGAGGAAUACCAGUGGCGCAAGCGGUUAACUGGACGGGCAUUGACGCUCAGAUACGAAAGCGUGGGUAGCAAACAGG